RNAcentral lists this long non-coding RNA (13616 nucleotides) under Homo sapiens (human). RNAcentral's name for it is "HSALNT0056923". The record is from RNAcentral. Lineage: Eukaryota; Metazoa; Chordata; Mammalia; Primates; Hominidae.
AAAUAAAUAUAAAUAUAUAUAUAUAAAUAUAUAUAUAUAUUUCAUUAUCAAAGUUGACCAUUUAAGGGAAAACAAUAUUUUGGCCUUCCAUCUGCCAUCUCAUCCCCAACCUUAUGCUGGCCAAUAAUAAUUGCUUUUAAAGCUCCUUCUCCCACAACACCUCUAAAAAAUGUUAAAUUGCAGCAUCUUUAAACUCCAACUGAACCAAACAUUCCUAUUUUAGUGUGAUGAUUUGUCUAAAUUCUGAUGUGUAGCACAGUGCAAAUGAUAUAAUUUAAAUAGAAUUUUAAUGAGGGGCAAAAAGAAAGACAAUUUAUACUUUCUCGUAUUUCUCUAAAUAUAUUAACUGUCUCAAGGAACAGCUUUGUGAGCCAAGUCAUAUGUAUCAUUGUAAACUGGUGGUAUAGAAAAACAUGGAAACAAAUAUUUCUUUAUAUUGUGUGUAAUUGGGACAAAAAUAAAUGGCCUACAGACUGAAGGGCAUAACUUAGUUACCCUUUCUGGCUUUCAAAUAACCAUUUAUCAUAGGAUUUCUGCUCGCAACUGAACCUGCUGUAUUCUUUCAUUGGGACUUAGCAAGUAAACUGAAUCAAGCUCUCAUUCUAAAUACUAUUCACCACUUUGAGAGUCUAGCCUCAGUGUAAAUGAGGCUAAUGGGAUAAGAUCUAAGUAUUUUUGCUCUUUUUUCUACAAAAUCUAUAAACACCCCAAAACUAAGCCUGGAUUUUGGGUAUGCAGACCGGCAUGCUAAAUGAGUAUUUGUUUACUAUAAAAUUUUCAUUUUCUCCUUCUUCACAAUUUUCCUCCUAUCAAGAUUUCUUUGUCUUAUAGGUUCUAUUUAUAAAUAGUGUUAUGACAUUCAUAUACUCUCAUAUAUUUUAAUCUCUUAGAAUGAUUUCCAUAUUAGUAUCCAGACUGUAUACUGUAGGGAUACAUUUACAGUGUUUGAAACAUAUUGCAUUUUGUUACAGUCAUUCAAAAUACUGCCUUAAGCAUCAUUGCCUCCAUCAGCGCCUCUGCCUAUGCCAAAUAUCUGGAAAGAUCUAUUAACAGAUGCCUGUUUACUCUAAAGUGAUAUUAACAUUCCUUAUCAGACUGAAUUAAUUGCUUGAGUAUAGUAGAAGAGUGACUUGCAUAGAAGAUGUGUGUGCCUCCAGGAACAGCAAGCCUUAUCAGCUGGUUACAUAUAAGCCUUUUCCGCAUUAAACUUGUGUGUCCCAUAUCACAGGCAGAGUCUAGUGCUCAAUACACACAAAAAAAUUUAUUAGAUACAUGUCAAUUUUCAUCUGUUUAGUGAAAAUACUUUUAAUAACUGGUUAAUCCAAUCCACCUUUGUCUAGAUGGAUUUCUAAGAGUACAGAGUUUUUGUUUGUUUGUUUUUAACCACUAUGUUAGUGGGACACAAUCUUCAUAGUAAGUAAUCUGUGCAAUAGCCCCGAGAAGCCAGUAAUAUAGUAAUAAAAAUAAUUACCAUUAUCACCAUCAUUAUAGCAAAUUAUAGUGCAUAUAAUAUUGCAAUAGGUUUUUGAUAGAAUAUUUUCUUGAAGUCAGUAAAAACCCUGUGAGGUAGGGAGUAUUUUUCUUAUACAGAAGCUUUUUGAUAAUUGUUAAUUUCUUACAUCUUCAUAUAGAUUAUUUCCCAAAGUCAUGGCUAAGAAGUGACAAAAUUUGAACAAAAACUGGUUUUUCUGAUUCCUAAGGUCUAUGUUCUUUUCACCGAACAACAGGUAACUGCAAAGAACAAUAACCAUGACAAUAAAAGUCACCAAAUUUUGGCUCUAGAUUAUACAGGAAUCCCAAUAAAAUUUUAGUUACAGUAGUAUAAAGGCAUCUACUUAGAUAUAGAUCACACUUUUUUUCUUAUGCCUAGAUCUCCUGAACCAGAAAGUUAGCAAAAGUGGAUGUUUAAGUUUUAAAUAAUGUAUUCUAAAGACUUGUUUCCACUUAAUAAAACUAGAUUGAGACCAUGCAUAAUUUUCCAUAUUGAGAUAAUUUAAAAUUAUUUUGCCCUACUCUGAAAAGUUUAAGUCUGAUAGGUAAAUUUUAUGAUAUGGUGACAAGACUGUGCAAAGUAUUUAACUCUAAUUCUCUGAGCCUUGGUUCUUUGAUUUGUAAAAUAGUGAUAAUAAACCCAUUUUAAAAAUAGGUGAAAAGUAUUUUUCAUUAUUUCUGGCACAUAGUAAAUAUGCACCAGAAGUCAGGCAUUAAUAUUUGAAUUUUUAAAAAGUACUGCAGGUAAAUUAUCUCAGUGUGUUUAAAUAAUAAAAGUAUCACUAAGAACCCAGCAAAAGACAAGCUAUAUGUUAAAGCACAAAGUACUGAAAGAAUAUAACUCUGAAAGAACAAGUGUAAUAUCAUAUAACACAUAUUAAUUAAAAUGGAAAUGUGUCUCUUUUUUUACUUUCUCUAGUUUAUAGAAUCAUUCCUCAAUAAUGGUUUCUCUUGGUCUCCCAAAGAAAUAAACUUUAUGUGAACAAUUAGAUCAUAAUUUUUCUGUGCCCUUCCUUUCAUCUUUUUUUUCUCCUUUUUUUUCUUUCUAUUUUUCUCAUCUUUUCUUCAGGUAUCACAGGCAUUAACCUAUAGGCAUUCUCCCAAGUCACUUGGUUAAUUUUGUGGGAAUGACUGAGUUUCCAAAAUACCUUUAUUGACUUGGUAUCUGUAGGCCAUGCUAACUGCUACUAGGAAAUUAACUGAAAGUCAAGAUUACCAAAUGUUUAGGAUAAUUAUUUCUAUGAUGGAAAUUCUGGGUCCCAUUUUUCUAAAGCAGAAAUGGUAAAGAAAAAAUAUACUGAAAGCUGUAUAACCAGUGAUUCUUAGAUGAUCACUAAGUAUUUGUGCAAUAGACAAAACAUCUUUGCAAACUCUUUAAUUUCUAAGAUUUAUCUUAAUAUUUUAAAUCAUUUUAAUAUUAUAAUCUAAAAUAUACCCAUGAGAUGUAAGAUUAAUAAGUGUCACUAUUAAGGAAAAAAGACAUGCUAUUCAGUGCUUGUUACUAGGAAAAUACAAUAUAUUUUCUUAUUUUUCUAUGGAGAAGUAAAAAUAACUGAAUAUAUGAAAAGCAUGUGAAUAUUUUUCUACCAAAGAAUCAGUAGAGAUAUUAAUUUGAAUCAUAGGUUAAAAAUAAUCUGAAAAAGUACACCUUAGCAUUGCAUACUUAAAAAAGCAUUUCCUAUAACUCUAUGAAUAUAGCUUAGGAAAUAUUGAAUUUUCAUUAACGAAAUUGAUUUGGCUAGAACUCUUUAUAAAGAAAUAAAACCACUAAAAUUUAAAGCCUCUGCCAUGUGAUGUUUAACAGGAAAAUUUAUAAACACAUACUGUUCUCUGAAAUUUCCUCAUGAAGAAAUUUUAGGGAUUUUAAAGAACAUUAGUCUUUUCCUGUAGUUGCUCAUAGAUUAAGUGCUAAUUCAAUAAAACUGUCUUCAUUUGUGUGUGUACAUAUAUAUGUGCAUUAUAGAUACAUAUAUAUGUGCAUUAUAAAUACAUAUGUACAGAUAUCCAUAUAUAUGUAUGUAUAUAUUGAAAACAUGUUUCUAUUAAUUAGUGCGUAGGUGUUUGCUAUAUAUUUUGAAUGUAUAUACAAUUAUUUUUCUAGGUUUUUUGGCUCAAUGUAUUGAAAAGAGAAUUAGAAUAGAUUUUCUGAUCAUCUUUACACAUGGUAAAAUUGAAUAGAAUAUUUAGGCUUUACCUCUUUAAAAGAAUUGCUGGCAGCAUUGGAAAUGUUGUCAAUUUACAUGUCUAUUCUUGUUUAAAAGCUCAUCCAUAAUUUUUUUUUAAAAUAAAUCUUUUUAAGAUGAUGAAUUUAUGAUAUCUCUGAAGAAUAAUCUUCAUUAUACUUGGAGAUUAUUGUUUUAUUUGCUGUUACUGAUGAAGCUUUGAACUUCAUUCCGUAUAUACUCUUCAAACACUCCCUCUAUCCACAGUUAUCUUUAGUUAAAAGCAUAAAGGUUAAGCAUUUUAUUAGAAGUCUAAUAUUUACAUUGUUGUAAUACUAAAAUCUUAGUCACUGUGUUGCUGGUCUCAGGCCUCCCUGAACUCUGAAUUAAUAUUUAUUUUUCAAGCUUUUCUCUCUUACCCCAGUUUUUUCUCUCUUGUCCUUUUUUUUUAAGUUUGCCAAGAAAGUGAUAAAUAAAUCAAGCAUACGGAAUAUAAAAACACUAAGCAUAUUUGUUUAAUCUGAUAAUUAAGAAUCUGAAAUUGUUCUGGUUUAUUAUAAUCAUUAGACAAAUUUUUAUAUCAUGGUAUUGAACUAAAGAGAGAAAUAAGGAGGAAAUGAAAUGCAUUUGAAAAUUAAAUGAUAUUGUUAAACUUGAUAAGUAUAAAAAUUCAUGAAAAUAGAAUAAUGUUUUAUUAUCCAAAUAGAGUCUAUUUUACAAACAUUAGAUGGUAAACUAAAAAUGGUUAGGGUAACAUCUGUUUUGCUUACCUAUGUCACUCAAGCUUCUGGCAAAGAGCUUGGAAAAUCCUAGUUAAAAUGAGUCAUAUAGAUCAUAUAUAGAUCACAUAUAGUUAAAAUGAGUUAUAUAGAUCAUAUACAUAAUAUCUAAGAUAAGAAAUCAGUGUGAACCAUGUCUUGCAUAUGUUUAGCUUAAAAAUGAACUAGAGUGCAGCAAGCCACCAUGGCACAGGUAUACCUAUGUAACAAACCUGCACAUUCUGCAUAUGUAUCCCGGAACUUCAAAGUCAAAAACACACAAAAAAAGAGAGCUAAAGUGCAAUGACUUCAAAAGACAGAUAAAUAUGGAAGUUAAUAUAAAGAUUUAAUCAUUCAUUCAAUCAGUCAGCAUUUAUAGAAUUUAUUGAAUAUCAUUUACUUGGCUAGGAACUGAAGAUAUAUGUUGAGACUUGAACCACACACUUUGUUUCUAAGGAAGACAUUUUAUCCCCUGGAAAACAAAAAAAGAAAAUGGGCAAUACCAUUCAGGACAUUGCAUGGGCAAAGACUUCAUGUCUAAAGCACCAAAAGCAAUGGCAACAAAAGCCAAAAUUGACAAAUUGGAUCUAAUUAAACUAAAGAGCUUCUGAACAGCAAAAGAAACUAUCAUCACAGUGAACAGGCAACCUACAGAAUGGGAGAAAAUUUUUGCAAUCUAUCCAUCUGACAAAGGGCUAAUAUCUGGAAUCUAAAAAGAUAUUUAAAAAAUUUACUAGAAAAAAACAAACAACCCCAUCAAAAAAUGGGCAAAGGAUAUGAACAGACACUUCUCAAAAGAAGACAUUUAUGCAGCCAACAGACAUAUGAAAAAAUGCUCAUCAUCACUGGCCAUGAGAAAAAAUGCAUUAAUUUUUAAGUAGUAAAAAUAUUCAGUGCUCAUAGUGGAAAAGGCAAAUUUUACCAUUUAGUAGGAAAAUUACUUCUAAAAAUAUGGAAUUAUAUAAAAUAUUUUGAUUACUUCAUUUGUUAAAAUGAUUUAUACAUAAUUUCAAUUUAUUAUUUAAUAAUAAUUUAUUAAUUGGGGAGAUAAUACAUUAGAGACAAUGAAGACAGAAUUAGAAAAUGUUAUGUGGCAGAGGGCUGACAAACAAAACGCAUGUAAAGAAUAGUCCUUGUUCUUCAUAAAGUACUAACUGUUUCUCUGCAUGCCUUGUGGGAUCAAAAGGAGAGAAGGGUAUUGGAUAAGAUCUUUGACCCUCCUUGUGUUUGGACAGGCCUCUGCUUUAAACUUAGUUUUUUCUCUUUUUCAGAAGAGUUAUCUGAAUUUUUAAUAUCAAAUCUUACCAAAUAGAAAGCAAAGAAGAAAGAGUAGUUAUGGAUUUAUAUCAUACUCAAUUAUACAUGGAGUAUUGUCAUGAAGAUUUUUAACCCAAGCAAGAAGAGAGUCAUAGCUGUAAACGUAAAGCACCGCUUUCCUACUAAAAAGAAAAAAUCCAUUCCUUAUUAUGAGAUUAUAUGCUACAAACUGAACUUCACAUUAUAGAAUUUCCAAUGUUCAGGUCUUAAAUUAGUAUUAAUGUCUAAUACAUGAGUUUUGCUUUUUUCCAUAAUACAUUGUAAGGUCUAGACCAGUCAUUGUCAAGUAGGGGUGAUUUUGCCUUCAGGAAACUUUUGGCAAUGUCUGGAAACAUUUGUCAUUGUCACGCUGAAAAUGGUAAUGCUACUGACAUCUAGUGGGUAGGGGCAGGGAUGCUGUUACACAUUGCACGAUGUACAGCACAGCCUCCCACGAGAAUUACUUAUGCCAACUGUGGCAACAUAGAGAAAACCUGUACAUGAUGGUACAUAAUAAUUCAUUUUAUCCUCACAACAACCCUUAGGAUACACACUAAUAUAUCAACAUAUUUUGUCUAAAAGUACUGAGCCACGGGGAUGUUAAGCAGAAUUUUCAAAUUUAUAGAGGUGGAAUAGAAACCCAGAUAACUUGGAUCCAAAUAUCUCUCGCUUAACUCCCAUUCUAGAGUCUCUUUGUACUUUCUAGGAUUUUCCCCUCAAGUUUAUCACUGAAUACCAUACUUUACAGCAUUUUUAUAAAUAGAAUUAAUAUGAGAAUUUUCUUUGACUCAUUUCACCCUUUGAAAUUGAUUACUAAAUCUUCCAUACAAUGGAGUAAAUAAAUCAUCCAACCAAACAGCAUUCUCUGUUUCUAUUCUGCUUCAGGUUCAUGCUAGGAAUUGUAGACUAAAAAGAAAACGAGGUUUGAAUAGUGUAAGAAACACAAGCCAAUGCUCAAUUUUGUUGGCUCGACAGUGUCUACUAAGGCAGUUCAUAGAAGAGGAAGAUUGCUGAAUGCUUGAGCCACAGGGGAAAGCUUCAGAGAGGAAGCCAGGCUGGAGCCGAACUUUCACAGUGUUCUUGAUUUACUUGAGUUAUCUUGUUUGUUUUUACAUCUACUUCACUCUCAUAACUUUUCUCCUUUUCAGUGUUUCAUUUAAUUAAAUCCAAUACAUAUUUACUGAGAAGGCACUGUGUGUUCAUCUCUUCUUUAGACACUGCAAAGUGCAUGAAGCAUUUUUACAGAAUUUUUGCCCAUAAGAAAAUAAAAAUCUAAAGAGACAAGUCAUGGUUAGACUAGGAGUUACAUAACAGUAAAAGAAAAUGUAUGAGAGAUAUUGAAAUAGCACAUAAUUAAGCGUUAAAAUAAUUGCAUGAGCCAUCACAUCCGCCAGUUUUUUGUUUUUUUUUUUAAGAUGGAGUCUCGCUCUGUCGCCCAGGCUGGAGUGCAGUGGCACGAUCUCCGCUCAGUGCAAGCUCCGCCUCCUAGGUUCACGCCAUUCUCCUGCCUCAGCCUCCUGAGUAGCUGGGACUACAGGCGCCCACCACUGCGCCUGGCUAAUUUUUUGUAUUUUUGAUAGAGACAGGUUUUCGCCAUGAUAACCAAGCUGGCCUUGAACUCCUGAACCUCAAUUGAUCUGCCUAUUUUAUUAAAUUUUUGUCAUCUUUCAGUAUCUCCCAAGACUUUUAUUUUAUCCUACAUCCUACUAUCUCCUCCCAGUGUAUCAUGUUGUCACCAAAUGUGCAGUAUCUUUUGCUGCAAUCCUCAGCCAAUUGCAAAACUGCUGAAGUGUCAAUAUGAAGGCUCUCAGGUGGGAAGAAUUCUCUCUUACUCUAGGAAAGGCCAUGCUUAUGUUCUUUUAAGGCUGUCAAAUGAUUAGAUGAGGCUCACCUGCAUUAUGAAAGGUGAGCUUCUUCAACAGUCUAGCAGCUUAAAUGUUAAUCUUAUCCCAAAACGCUUUUACAGAAACACUAAGAAUAAUGUUUGACCAUUGACUAAAUAUCUGGGUACCCCAUGGCUCAGUCAAGUUACACAUAAAAGUAACCAACACAUUUUAUCACAAGAAAAUUUAUGUAAGCCUCUUGGGAAAUCAGCUUUUAGUAGUACAGUUCCUUUCCAAAAAUUAUCUUUAAAAAAAUCUUCAGGAAAUAUCUUAGAAAAACAAUGGCAUAACAAAAUUAACAGAUAAACAAAAUGCACAGUGUUCAUCUGCUUUUGGGAUUGCUGGUCAAGCAUAUCAUCUAAUUUGUAUGACAAUGAGAGCUGUGAAAUGUCUAUAUCCUAACAAACUCACUUAUAAUUAGGCAAUCUAUUAAAAUGUGAGAGUUUUACCUAAAAACUUGAAAAAUUAAUACAAUCUUAACACAAAAAUUCAUGAGAAGCUCUUAACCCUACUUAAGAGAGAAUAUUUUAAUCCAAUUUUAAAAUAUUGUUUGUUUUAAAAUAUAAUAAUCAUAUAUUCAGAAAAAUAAUUUAUUUUUUCAUAUGGUCUUGUUUUUCAUCAAUGAAUUUGAUUCAAAUACAAUGAAUACAAAGAAAAAUAUCUUGAUCUAUUACCUACAUAUGAGUAGUAUGAAAACGUGAGUCAUUCAGUAUCCUUUCUCAUAAUCAUAAUUUUCUGUAUAACCCUAAAUAUUCAGAGUUUCCCUGUAUGGCCCCUGUUCUGAAAAUCUUUAUCAAGACAUUCUCAAUGCAAUCAUUACCUCCCCUGUUCUAAAUGCCAUCUUUUAUCUCCUAUUCAGAGAUUUCAAUUGCUCUCAUAAGAGUCCAGAGAUUGUUUUCUGUUCACACAGCCUCUCCGCGUUUAUUAAGGUUUAACGUUCAGAGGUUUAACCAUAAGUGAAAGAGUUAAAUGAAAUGGAAUUGUCUUUUUGCUUAAAGUGAUAUUUCUUACAUACUCUAAUCUGUUCUGUUUCUUCGUGUGUUUGUAUGUGAACCUCAGUAAAACUGGAAUUGGGAGGUUAAAUACAGAUACUACCAAUUUCAGGGUAUUAUUGUUCAUUGAUGUUUAUCCUAGGCAUUUAUUUCUAAAGCUAAGUUUUUGUUUUGUUUUGUUUUACUUUUGAUCCCCACUUCUCCCUUUCUGUCUUCCCUAACAAUUUUUACUUUCAUUUGGCAUUACAGUGCGAGAAAGAAUUGUUCCUAUCCGGUUUUGAGAAUUACUUCAUUUAGUUUACUUUUCUUCACUUUUUUUACUAACAGAAGUUAAUUUUGAAUACAAAACAUAGAUUGAACAUGUCAAAGACUUACUCUGCAGAUAUCACCAACAGAAACUGUUGAUAAGAGAUAAAACAAAGAUGAAUGUUUUGCUUAUUGCAGUGAGAGAGAACAGAGAACCUUGCAAAAUUUAGACAGUGUCUUGGACUAGGGAAUAUAAAGUCAGAAUUUAUGGAGAAUUGGAUGUUUGAUUUAAGGAGGGUCUUUCGAAGUAAGAACUGGACUAGGAUGGGUUAAAGACCAUGCCACAACCGUUCAGGAUUGGUAGAAACAGCAAGGUGGGAGUUUAAGGCAAGAGCAGCAAAGAAUCGUAAGGAAAAACUGCCUGCUGAUGUUUCAUUGAAGAGUAGGUGGGUGUUUCAGGAAGACUCUAUAAUGAACAAUCAAAACCUUUGCCUUGGCAAGGUAUUUCUGAAAUAAUAAAUUAUGCUUAUGAAGACAGAGGAAUAUUAAAGGAACACUAACGAGGACAGAGGAAUAGCGCAAAGUCAUCUUAAUAUAGGCAGUAAGGAAUUAUUUUAGUUCUUAGUGUCUAUACUGAGGGUGGGAUUAGAAGGUUUUGGUUACCAAAUAAUAUCUAGAUAAAUGCUUUCAUACCACUAUCCCAUGAAUUUUUUUCAUAUCCAAAGCGAAUAUAGUUUAUUUUAAUGUUGAUAUAACUUUCUAUAAUACUAUGACAAAACACAUGUCUAAUAAGAAAGCUACUUUUAAAUUAACAUUUUCUAAAAUUAAAUAUUUGUACCAUGAUUUAUUUUGACAUGAUUGCCAUUUUGCUGUGCAUUUUGAUUUAUUCCUAGUUUACCUCCAAGCCCUGUACAGCCAGUAUUUCUGCAUCCUUCUACCAUGUACUUUUACCUGUCUUCCAAAAAACCUCUUGAUCUCAUCUUUUCCUAUUCCAAAUACUAAUAUAUCAUCACUUAUCCAAGUAUAACUUGUCUUUUAUUUAUUCAGUUAUUUCAUUCAGAAGUUCAGAAAAUACUGUGAUCUUUCAUAGAGUUUCGGCAUGGAGCAGGAGGACAGUCAGAUCUGCAGCCUCACAGUAUUUAGUUUAGUAGAUUAACAAAGACUGUACAUGAGAAAGUAUUGUAAGAAGGUACUCGUCAUCUAGAACAAGAAGGUUUGGGUUAUUAACGAAAAAAAAAGUAGAGAUGGGGAAAUAUGUAAUUCUUCCGCUACAUAUCAUACUGUCAAGCUGAAUUUUGAAAGAUGAAAUUAUAUUCCCCUGUGGAACAAGGUAUAGUUUAAAAUAAGGGGUAUUAAUUGAAGCAUGAGUUACUGUGGAAAUAAUGUUAGCAGAAUUUUGUAUAUAGCUAUGAUCAAACAGAAAACAUUUUCAAAGAACAAGAAAAAAUAUUCUCAAAAAUAAUUUUAAAAAGUAAACUCAGAUAUACUGUACCAAGUUUUUUAUUUAAUAGGCUUACUCUACCUCUUCAUGUUUAUCACUUAGUGCCAUCGUCUGGAAGGGCAUAUGAACAUUUAAUACUAUAUGCAUGAAAUCUGUUGACUGUUUGAUGAACUAUAUUCCAGAUGCUUACUCAAAUAAAAUAUUUCUAAAUUUGGCAUGAUUGAACUGAAAAAAACAAGGAGGCAUCUUUGCUGAGUUAAAGUGUUUUUGUUUGAACUUACAAGGAAGCUGCCACCAGCUGGUAUCGCUUACCAUAGUGGUGGAAAUAUUUCAUAUUUUAGAAUUAAAUUAUACUCUGUCCAGUCAAACAGAGACAUUAAAAGGAUAUCACAUCAAAAUAGGCAUAACGUAUAAUUAAAGAAAAAAGCUGGUGCUUCUUCAGAAUGUUAAAUGGGAGUAAGUUAACAAAAGAAAUAAAAUGUUGUGUUUUUCCUUCAUGUUCACUCCAUUAUUCCAUGAAUUACAUUAAACUUUGUCCCACACAUGACCUUGAAUAUUUAACCACCUGCUCAAUUUGAUCUGGGAACACUCAGGCUUUGAAAAGCUGCCUGCAUAAGACCUGACAAGAGUGUGCCUCCCAAAUAUGUAAAGUUUACUGCACAGGCUGAGGGAAUGUGGGAAUUGCUCAGCUGCCUGCAAGUGUUUCUGGUCCUGAAAAUUUGGGAAAAAUUGCUUGUAAUGCAGUUAAAGGUUUUUAAAGCCUGGGCCUGUCUAUAUUUGAAUAGUGUCAUUUAAAAUGAGAUUUAGAAUAUUAUUCUCUUAGUGGGAACAUCUUUUUAAGGGAGACUGUAUAAGAACUGCAUAGAGAGAGUUUUGCCUCAACUUGUGGGUCAUUGACUUCCUUACAUUUACUCUCUGGAGUACUUACACAGUGCAGACAUCCAUUAGAGAAAUGGUGGAAAUAAUAUAUAUUUCCACAUGCAACACACACAGAUAUCCAUAUAUAUAUAAUAGUAGUUAUUAGAAAUACUGUUUAAGUCAUAUAUUGCUGUUGACUUUGAGUAUUUCCUUAAAUACUUUUACACUUAAAGCAGAUAGAAGAUUAUGACAAUUUAUCUCCUGAUUUAAAAGUGCAGGAAACUUAUAUUUUAGUUUGUGUUUUUUGAGGUUUCUUAAAAGGUUAACAAUUAAAGCACUAUAGUUCAUCUUAUAAAAAUAUCUCUUUCUGAUAGAUCCAAAGCAGCUUUAUAGAAUCUAUACAUACCGAUUGUGUUGUCAUCUUUUGUAUUAUAAAAGCAGCACUAGAAGACAAACACAUUUAGAAAAGGAGAGCAGUUGACUUAAAGUAAGUUGUCAGUCUAACUUUAGGAGGACUAUCUUGCCAAAUAAAAACAAAGAAAAAUAACAUCAAGAUUAUAUAUCUUAAGAAGUUUAUAUUAUUCUGUUAUCGGUGAAAAAAACCAGCUAAUUUAUUUUAUGAUUAUCACAUUGGGAAGCGAGGGAUAAAGCUGAUUUUGAUUGCAAAUUAGGGAUUAAAAUGUACCUUCACGGCUUCAUUUAUUUGGAGGACCAGGUCUGACUUUGUUUACUUUGGUUUAUCUCAGAGUUGGUUACGAGGUGGUGUUUUGUUUUCUUGUUUCCUGACUUGGAAGAUGAUAUAUACACUUACAGUGGUAUAAGGGUGAAAUAUCAAUUUUGCUUCCACAGUAUCCAGACCAAAUACAUGCCUUUUUGAUAUUUAUAAUUUUAUGAGUUAAAAAGAAAAUCACUUUCUUUCUCAAAUGACUGGAUGACCAUGUCAAAUCCAACCUAGCUUUUCAAAUGAUUUUUUAGUCUUUGAAUCUACUGUAUCCAUGUGGUUCUGGUUAUUAAUUAACUUGAAUUUUUCUUCCUCAAAUAGUCAGACACAAUGCUAUGCUGCUGUUCCUAGAAUGAUGCUAAGCUUUACAGAGAGAUUUUAAUUUAAUACUAGUGAGUCCUUAAGUAGAAGUUUUCAAGUCAGCUUACAAUGAAUAUUUUUACAGGUAUGAAUUCCUGAAGGCUUAUUUAUCCUUAAAUGCUUUGAACAUAUUCACUUGAUCUGUAGAGUGAGAGCUAAUCUAUUUUUAGAGAUCUUCUAGUAAAAUGAUUUGUUGCAGCUUGGAUUAUUUUUUCUUAUUUUUUUAUGCCUUGAAAAAUUGAAGAGAAAAGGAAUAUGUCAUUGACUAGAAUUCCAAAGCUCAAGGUACACUUAUGGAAGUUGAAGUCAGUGACUCUUAUAACUUAAGAGAAACACGCAGCAGGAAUCCAUUCUAUUAGAGCACUUCAGUAAAGAAUCACAGCGAGGCCAUUUCCCCCUCUCAAUUGCAAUGUAAGAAAUUCUGUGAAAAUAAAGAUCAGUUGUAUAAUUUUCAUGUUUACCUUUGCUUUGUUCUUGCCCCUUAAAAUUUAUAUUUCACUCCUUUACACAUAAAUGUGCCUGGUUCAGGGAAAUAAUUCUGUCUUCUAUUUUUCAUUUGAAUUAAUUUUAUAUGAUUGCUUUGUAUUAAUUAUAUUUUUUCUGUUCCUUUCUUUAGUUGAUGGUUUCUUUUUUUUUGUUUUUUUUUUGCAGUGAGUUAUUUUAUCAAAGUGAAUCAUUAUUAAGGAUCGUGUUUGUUUUCCUUUACUUAGAUUUCCCUUUCUUAACAACCACUCAUGUGGUUACAUAAUAUUGCUACAUCAAUUGAUUUGCAUGUCAAUAAUAAAAGUAUAUUCAUUAGAUAUCUUGCUUUUUCCUCCUUUCCACUCAAUAUUUUUUUGAAAUUCUUAUUACCGAAAUCAAUGCACCUAAAAUUAGUGAAGAAUUAGGUAAUCAUUUGUCCUUGCUUUAUAAUGAAAAUUUGGCCAUUUAUAUGAUACAACAAAAAUAUCAACUUUGUUUCAAAUAAAAGUGAAAAUAUUUAUCUUUCAAUUUGAAUAAAUGUUAGGUCAUUAUUGGCACUGAGGGAUAUAAUCAUACAUAACUAUAUAUGUACAAUUAUUCUAAUUUGAAUCAAAGUACAAAUAUUACUCUUGUCAACGCCAUUUUUUUUUCUGGAGCUUAUUAGGAAUAGAACUGACUACAAGAGUUUGUUUAAAAGAGUAUGACAACUUUUAAAAUAUACCUUUAUUUAUAUUCAGCUACAUGGCACAAUGAAAUAUAGUUUUUACCUUUAAAAUGGAUGGCAUAAUAAAAUAUUGAAUUACAUUAUCGUGUCUAAAUCAACCAAUAUUUAGAAAAUUCUUGAUUUAUAUAUGAAUUUUGGAGAAUCAUUAUUCAUAUGUCGAAAUAAAUCAUAUCAAAAUGUGACCUAGGUGGAAAUUGAACAAUGAGAACACAUGGACACAGG